Molecule: long non-coding RNA, 304 nt
Filed under: Monodelphis domestica (gray short-tailed opossum)
Lineage: Eukaryota; Metazoa; Chordata; Mammalia; Didelphimorphia; Didelphidae
Description: lncRNA (ENSMODG00000036238.2)
Source: RNAcentral
UAGAGAUUUCUGUCACUGACAGAAAUUCUAAUAUGGAGGGUUCCUGUUAACACAUAGCUGAUUCUUAUGAACAAAUCUAAUUUCUCUGAAGACUUUCAUUCCAUGAACUAUUGAGAUACUGGACUCAAUUUGGUCAAGCUUGGAGGGGGUAACUGAAAAGAGAAGAGGAAAAAGGAAUCAAGAGGAAAUAAUCAAUUGGGAAAUUUCAAAAGAUGGAAACUAUGAAGUCCAGAGGCAAUAAGUAACUUGAACAAGGGUAAGUGAAACAAGGAAAAAAGGACAAGAAAGGGUUUUGAUGUGUUUG